CCUACGGGGUGCAGCAGUCGAGAAUCUUCCACAAUGGACGAAAGUCUGAUGGAGCGACGCCGCGUGAGUGAUGAAGGCCCUACGGGUUGUAAAACUCUGUCAGGAGAGAAGAACCGCCGGGAUGCCAAUACCAUCCCGGUCUGACGUUAUCUCCAGAGGAAGCUCCGGCUAACUCCGUGCCAGCAGCCGCGGUAAUACGGGGGGAGCAAGCGUUGUCCGGAAUUAUUGGGCGUAAAGGGCGUGUAGGCGGUUAGGUCAGUCGAAUGUGAAAUCCCACGGCUCAACCGUGGAACUGCGUUCGAUACUGCCUGACUUGAGUAUGUGAGAGGUGUGUGGAAUUCCUGGUGUAGCGGUGGAAUGCGUAGAUAUCAGGAAGAACACCGAUGGCGAAGGCAGCACACUGGCGCAAUACUGACGCUGAGACGCGAAAGCGUGGGGAG
RNAcentral lists this ribosomal RNA (440 nucleotides) under uncultured bacterium. Its description in RNAcentral is "bacterial SSU rRNA". It matches the Rfam family "Bacterial small subunit ribosomal RNA", at positions 338 to 768 of the family's 1533-position model. The record is from RNAcentral.